AUUGAACGCUGGCGGCAGGCUUAACACAUGCAAGUCGAGCGGGGUGAUGGUGCUUGCACUAUCACUUAGCGGCGGACGGGUGAGUAAUGCUUAGGAAUCUGCCUAUUAGUGGGGGACAACAUCUCGAAAGGGAUGCUAAUACCGCAUACGUCCUACGGGAGAAAGCAGGGGAUCACUUGUGACCUUGCGCUAAUAGAUGAGCCUAAGUCGGAUUAGCUAGUUGGUGGGGUAAAGGCCUACCAAGGAGACGAUCUGUAGCGGGUCUGAGAGGAUGAUCCGCCACCCUGGGACUGAGACACGGCCCAGACUCCUCCGGGGGGCAGCAGUGGGGAAUAUUGGACAAUGGGGGGAACCCUGAUCCAGCCAUGCCGCGUGUGUGAAGAAGGCCUUAUGGUUGUAAAGCACUUUAAGCGAGGAGGAGGCUCUUUUGGUUAAUACCCAAGAUGAGUGGACGUUACUCGCAGAAUAAGCACCGGCUAACUCUGUGCCAGCCGCCGCGGUAA
Molecule: ribosomal RNA, 503 nt
Filed under: uncultured bacterium
Lineage: Bacteria
Description: partial 16S ribosomal RNA
Rfam family: Bacterial small subunit ribosomal RNA
Source: RNAcentral